GACGUAGGUGGCGAACGUUAUCCGGAAUCAUUGGGCGUAAAGGGUGCGUAGAUGGCAUGAUAAGUUAUUAGUGGGAAAUCGAGGCUCAACCUCGUGGAAGCUAGUAAUACUGUUUUGCUUGAGUACAGAAGAGGUUAACGGAACUCCAUGUGGAGCGGUAAAAUGCGUAGAUAUAUGGAAGAACACCAAUAACGGCGAAGGCAGUUAACUAUUCUGUUACUGACAUUGAGGCACGAAAGCGUGGGGAGCAAACGGG
RNAcentral lists this ribosomal RNA (256 nucleotides) under uncultured bacterium. Its description in RNAcentral is "partial 16S ribosomal RNA". It matches the Rfam family "Bacterial small subunit ribosomal RNA", at positions 524 to 776 of the family's 1533-position model. The record is from RNAcentral.